This 30-nucleotide non-coding RNA is filed under the name Mus musculus (house mouse). Lineage: Eukaryota; Metazoa; Chordata; Mammalia; Rodentia; Muridae. The record is from RNAcentral.
AGAAAGUGACCAGUCAAACAUUAUCAGAAC